GAUUAACGCUGGCGGCGUGCAUAACACAUGCAAGUCGAACGAUGAAACUUAGUAUACUUCUUCGGAAAGACACUAAGCGGCUUAGUGGCGAACGGGUGAGUAACGCGUGAGUAGCCUGCCUUACACAAGGGGAUAGCCUUUGGAAACGAAGUAUAAUACCCUAUCAAACUAUACAAGCGCAUGCUAUAAUGGUCAAAGUGAUAGCGGUGUAAGAUGGACUUGCGUCUGAUUAGCUAGUUGGUGAGAUAAAAGCUCACCAAGGCAACGAUCAGUAGCCGGCUUGAGAGAGUGUACGGAGACACUGGGACGGGGACACGGCCCAGACUCCUACGGGAGGCAGGAGUGGGGAAUGUUGCACAGUGGGGGAAACCCUGAUGCAGCGAGGCCGCGAGAUUUAGAAGGCCUGCGGGUUGUAAAAAUCUUUUGUAUAGGAAGAGAAUGACAGUACUAUACGAAUAAGGUCCGGCUAAUUACGUG
Molecule: ribosomal RNA, 477 nt
Filed under: uncultured bacterium
Lineage: Bacteria
Description: partial 16S ribosomal RNA
Rfam family: Bacterial small subunit ribosomal RNA
Source: RNAcentral